Molecule: ribosomal RNA, 441 nt
Filed under: uncultured bacterium
Lineage: Bacteria
Description: partial 16S ribosomal RNA
Rfam family: Bacterial small subunit ribosomal RNA
Source: RNAcentral
CCUACGGGAGGCAGCAGUGGGGAAUAUUGCACAAUGGGGGAAACCCUGAUGCAGCGACGCCGCGUGAGUGAAGAAGUAUUUCGGUAUGUAAAGCUCUAUCAGCAGGAACGAGACAAGACGGUACCUGACUAAGAAGCCCCGGCUAACUACGUGCCAGCAGCCGCGGUAAUACGUAGGGGGCAAGCGUUAUCCGGAAUCACUGGGUGUAAAGGGAGCGUAGACGGCUGAGCAAGCCUGAAGUGAAAGGCGGGGGACCAACCCCCGGACUGCUUUGGGAACUGUACGGCUGGAGUGCAGGAGAGGUAAGUGGAAUUCCUAGUGUAGCGGUGAAAUGCGUAGAUAUUAGGAGGAACACCAGUGGCGAAGGCGGCUUACUGGACUGUAACUGACGUUGAGGCUCGAAAGCGUGGGGAGCAAACAGGAUUAGAUACCCUUGUAGUC